Long non-coding RNA from Hyposmocoma kahamanoa, 402 nucleotides. RefSeq lists it as uncharacterized. NCBI's taxonomy places the organism in Eukaryota, Metazoa, Arthropoda, Insecta, Lepidoptera, Cosmopterigidae. The record is from RefSeq and is a predicted model, not a curated record. The transcript has 3 exons.
GCCAUUUCUCAAAAUGCUGUUUUUUAAAUUACAGAGCUGCGCUUCGAAAUACUGUAUGGAAAUUAGCAGCGCCACUGCAGUGCUUCUGCAAGCUUCCAAUUUGAAAGCGCCCUUACAUGGUAGUUAAAUGCCUAUUGCCAAGUUUGCUUGGGAUCAUUGUCUACCAGAAGCGUAGAAUUUUUUUUUAAAUAUUGACAACAUACGUUGUUUAGAGCCCAAACUGCGGCACGCCGAGGCAUCUCAUUUCGUCGUCAGACAUCGUCCCGUACGGGAGCUCCAUGUGGAUGUCCCAAGGUGGAUCCGCCAUUAUUACUGCGAAUUUACCUACGGACAGAGCUCCUACAAAAGAGUCCUUCCAAAGAAGUGCUGCCACCUACUUUGACACUAUUUUUGCUGCCUAGA